Molecule: ribosomal RNA, 253 nt
Filed under: uncultured bacterium
Lineage: Bacteria
Description: partial 16S ribosomal RNA
Rfam family: Bacterial small subunit ribosomal RNA
Source: RNAcentral
CACGAACCGGACGAACGUUAUUCGGAAUUACUGGGCUUAAAGGGUGCGUAGGCGGCUCUGCAGGUGGGGUGUGAAAUCCCUCGGCUCAACCGAGGAACUGCGCCCCAAACCGCAGAGCUUGAGGAAGGCAGAGGUGAGCGGAACUCAGGGUGGAGCGGUGAAAUGUGUUGAUAUCCUGGGGAACACCAGUGGCGAAGGCGGCUCACUGGGCCUUUUCUGACGCUGAGACACGAAAGCCAGGGGAGCGAACGGG